RNAcentral lists this unclassified non-coding RNA (330 nucleotides) under soil metagenome. Its description in RNAcentral is "partial contains 5.8S ribosomal RNA, internal transcribed spacer 2, and large subunit ribosomal RNA". The stretch from base 1 to 120 matches the Rfam family "5.8S ribosomal RNA", at positions 35 to 154 of the family's 154-position model. The record is from RNAcentral.
GAUGAAGAACGCAGUGAAAUGCGAUAAGUAAUGUGAAUUGCAGAAUUCAGUGAAUCAUCGAAUCUUUGAACGCACAUUGCGCCCUCUGGUAUUCCGGGGGGCAUGCCUGUUCGAGCGUCAUUACAACCCUCAAGCUCUGCUUGGUAUUGGGCUCUGCCGGUCCUGGCAGGCCUCAAAGUCAGUGGCGGUGCCAUCCGGCUCCAAGCGUAGUAAUUCUUCUCGCUUCGGAGGCCGCGGUGCGUGCUAGCCAGCAACCCCCAAUUUUUUUCAGGUUGACCUCGGAUCAGGUAGGGAUACCCGCUGAACUUAAGCAUAUCAAUAAGCGGAGGA